UUAAAGAUCAUCUUUUUAAUGCCAGU
This 26-nucleotide non-coding RNA is filed under the name Rattus norvegicus (Norway rat). The record is from RNAcentral. Lineage: Eukaryota; Metazoa; Chordata; Mammalia; Rodentia; Muridae.